AUUGAACGCUGGCGGCAUGCCUUACACAUGCAAGUCGAACGGUAACAGGUCUUCGGAUGCUGACGAGUGGCGAACGGGUGAGUAAUACAUCGGAACGUGCCUAGUAGUGGGGGAUAACUACUCGAAAGAGUGGCUAAUACCGCAUGAGAUCUACGGAUGAAAGCAGGGGAUCGCAAGACCUUGUGCUACUAGAGCGGCCGAUGGAAGAUUAGGGAGUUGGUGGGAUAAAAGCUUACCAAGCCGACGAUCUGUAGCUGGUCUGAGAGGACGAUCAGACACACUGGGACUGAAACACGGCCCAGACUCCUACGGGAGGCAGCAGUGGGGAAUUUUGGACAAUGGGCGAAAGCCUGAUCCAGCAAUGCCGCGUGCAGGAUGAAGGCCUUCGGGUUGUAAACUGCUUUUGUACGGAACGAAAAGCCCUGGGUUAAUACCCUGGGGUCAUGACGGUACCGUAAGAAUAAGCACCGGCUAACUACGUGCCAGCCGCCGCCGUAA
This 498-nucleotide ribosomal RNA is filed under the name uncultured bacterium. Its description in RNAcentral is "partial 16S ribosomal RNA". It matches the Rfam family "Bacterial small subunit ribosomal RNA", at positions 30 to 523 of the family's 1533-position model. The record is from RNAcentral.